GCGUAACGCGUGGGAYDBUGCCCUUGGGUUCGGGNNNNNNGUUGGAAACGACUGCUAAUACCGGAUGAUGUCUUCGGACCAAAGAUUUAUCGCCCAGGGAUGAGCCCGCGUCGGAUUAGCUAGUUGGUGAGGUAAAGGCUCACCAAGGCGACGAUCCGUAGCUGGUCUGAGAGGAUGAUCAGCCACACUGGGACUGAGACACGGCCCAGACUCCUACGGGAGGCAGCAGUGGGGAAUAUUGGACAAUGGGCGAAAGCCUGAUCCAGCAAUGCCGCGUGAGUGAUGAAGGCCUUAGG
This 296-nucleotide ribosomal RNA is filed under the name uncultured Sphingomonas sp. Its description in RNAcentral is "partial 16S ribosomal RNA". It matches the Rfam family "Bacterial small subunit ribosomal RNA", at positions 108 to 421 of the family's 1533-position model. Lineage: Bacteria; Pseudomonadati; Pseudomonadota; Alphaproteobacteria; Sphingomonadales; Sphingomonadaceae. The record is from RNAcentral.